GAUGAACGCUGGCGGCGUGCUUAACACAUGCAAGUCGAACGAGAAGUGAAGACGGAAACCCUCGGGCGGAAGGCUUUAUUUCGAGUGGCGGACGGGUGAGUAACGCGUGGGUAACCUGCCUCAUACAGGGGGAUAACAGUUGGAAACGACUGUUAAUACCGCAUAAGACCACAGCACCGCAUGGUGCGGGUGUAAAAACUCCGGUGGUAUGAGAGGGACCCGCGUUCGAUUAGCCAGUUGGCGUGGUAACGGCCCACCAAAGCGACGAUCGAUAGCCGAUCUGAGAGGAUGGCCGGCCACAUUUGGACUGAGACACGGCCCAGACUCCUACGGGAGGCAGGAGUGGGGAAUAUUGCACAAUGGGGGAAACGCUGAUGCAGCGACGCCGGGUGAGUGAAGAAGUAUUGCGGUAUGUAAAGCGCUAGCAGCAGGGAAGAAAAUGACGGUACCUGAGGAAGAAGCCCCGGCUAACUACGUG
Molecule: ribosomal RNA, 478 nt
Filed under: uncultured bacterium
Lineage: Bacteria
Description: partial 16S ribosomal RNA
Rfam family: Bacterial small subunit ribosomal RNA
Source: RNAcentral